RNAcentral lists this ribosomal RNA (530 nucleotides) under uncultured bacterium. RNAcentral's name for it is "partial 16S ribosomal RNA". It matches the Rfam family "Bacterial small subunit ribosomal RNA", at positions 28 to 523 of the family's 1533-position model. The record is from RNAcentral.
GACGAACGCUGGCGGCGUGCCUAAUACAUGCAAGUCGAACGAACUCUGGUAUUGAUUGGUGCUUGCAUCAUGAUUUACAUUUGAGCGAGUGGCGAACUGGUGAGUAACACGUGGGAAACCUGCCCAGAAGCGGGGGAUAACACCUGGAAACAGAUGCUAAUACCGCAUAACAACUUGGACAGCAUGGUCCGAGCUUGAAAGAUGGCUUCGGCUAUCACUUUUGGAUGUUCCCGCGGCGUAUUUGCUAGAUGGUGGGGUAACGGUUCACCAUGGCAAUGAUACGUAGCCGACCUGAGAGGGUAAUCGGCCACAUUGGGACUGAGACACGGCCCAAACUCCUACGGGAGGCAGCAGUAGGGAAUCUUCCACAAUGGACGAAAGUCUGAUGGAGCAACGCCGCGUGAGUGAAGAAGGGUUUCGGCUCGUAAAACUCUGUUGUUAAAGAAGAACAUAUCUGAGAGUAACUGUUCAGGUAUUGACGGUAUUUAACCAGAAAGCCACGGCUAACUACGUGCCAGCCGCCGCGGUAA